GCCAAUCAGAAGAUGAGUGGAUUGGCGCUGAUUAGAGAUUGGAGACAUGUGCCCUCUAUGUUAGCUUUGGGAAAGGGAACUUCCAAACACCAAGGUCCAAAAGAUGAGUGGAUUGGUGCUGAUUAGAGAUUGGAGACAUGUGCCCUCUAUGUUAGCUUUGGGAAAGGGAACUUCCAAACACCAAGGUCCAAUCCGGACAAAAGACAGCCCAGAGCCAGAGUCAACAAAAAAAGUGCCAGCAGUGGACAGCCGAAUACAAUAUCAGAGGCCUUUCGCAUUCCCAGGAUGUGAACUUGCAUUGCUACCUUUUCAGACCUCAUACUUCAGAUAUUUAAGAUGGUAACAUGAGAAUACAAACACCAAACUCUUCUAAUCUCUAUAUCUUCCAUUUAGUUUUUUAAAAGAGCCCUAUUACCUCCUAAAAUCACUUUUCAAAUGAAUCAUUUUAUACACCUACUAAGAAGCAACACAUAUAUCAUUUACAUAUAUAUAUCUCCCAAAAUAUAUAUUCUGAUUAAAAUUACACCACGAUAUCAUCUUAUUAACUUUAUACCCAAAUCAUUCUGUACAAAAUAAUUUAUUUAUUCUUACAGAUCAAAUUACAAUAUUGCUUCAAGAGAAGAAAAAAAAAACCUUACUAUAAGGAAUAAUUGCUCAUAACAGAAUAGCACUUGUACAUAUAAAACAGUUUCUUAGUCUUCAAACUCUUCAGUCGUCAAGCUCUAGUCAUGGAGAUAAUAGAUAUAUCCAUUCUUAGAACAACUAGAUUGCUUCAAGGAAAAUUCCCACUACCCAGCUCUUUAGUUAAUAUUUUCCUUUAAAAAUACAGAAAAAAUAUGAACUAUCCAUAGAUUGAACUAUACAAAGAAGAAAUACAUUGAAGAAUAAUGGCUAAUUCAGAUAUUCCAUAAA
Molecule: long non-coding RNA, 912 nt
Organism: Lytechinus variegatus (green sea urchin)
Lineage: Eukaryota; Metazoa; Echinodermata; Echinoidea; Temnopleuroida; Toxopneustidae
Exons: 2
Source: RefSeq, a predicted model, not a curated record